CCCUUAGAUGUCCUGGGCUGCACGCGCGCUACCCUGAUGUGUCCAGUAAGCACCUAACCUCUUCCGAAAGGAACGGGUAACCUUUGCAAAGCACAUCGUGAUGGGGAUAGAUUAUUGCAAUUAUUAGUCUUGAACGAGGAAUUCCUAGUAAGCACAAGUCAUCAGCUUGUGUUGAUUACGUCCCUGCCCUUUGUACACACCGCCCGUCGCUCCUACCGAUUGAAUGUUCCGGUGAGCUCUUCGGACUGCGCGGUCUGCAGUUUCUGCGUUCCGUGCGGAAAGUUGCGCAAACCUUAACAUUUAGAGGAAGGAGAAGUCGUAACA
RNAcentral lists this ribosomal RNA (324 nucleotides) under uncultured eukaryote. Its description in RNAcentral is "partial 18S ribosomal RNA". It matches the Rfam family "Eukaryotic small subunit ribosomal RNA", at positions 1470 to 1796 of the family's 1831-position model. The record is from RNAcentral.